CCUACGGGAGGCAGCAGUGAGGAAUAUUGGUCAAUGGGCGCGAGCCUGAACCAGCCAAGUCGCGUGAGGGAAGACGGUCCUAUGGAUUGUAAACCUCUUUUGUCGGGGAGCAAAAGACGCCACGCGUGGCGUUCCGAGAGUACCCGAAGAAAAAGCAUCGGCUAACUCCGUGCCAGCAGCCGCGGUAAUACGGAGGAUGCGAGCGUUAUCCGGAUUUAUUGGGUUUAAAGGGUGCGCAGGCGGAAGAUCAAGGCAGCGGUAAAAUUGAGAGGCUCAACCUCUUCGAGCCGUUGAAACUGGUUUGCUUGAGUGAGUGAGAAGUAGGCGGAAUGCGUGGUGUAGCGGUGAAAUGCAUAGAUAUCACGCAGAACUCCGAUUGCGAAGGCAGCAUACCGGCGCUCAACUGACGCUGAUGCACGAAAGUGUGGGUAUCGAACAGGAUUAGAUACCCCUGUAGUC
This 459-nucleotide ribosomal RNA is filed under the name uncultured bacterium. RNAcentral's name for it is "partial 16S ribosomal RNA". It matches the Rfam family "Bacterial small subunit ribosomal RNA", at positions 338 to 795 of the family's 1533-position model. The record is from RNAcentral.